RNAcentral lists this long non-coding RNA (522 nucleotides) under Coffea arabica (coffee). RNAcentral describes it as "long non-coding RNA (CARA_LNC001464)". The record is from RNAcentral. Lineage: Eukaryota; Viridiplantae; Streptophyta; Magnoliopsida; Gentianales; Rubiaceae.
GGAUGGCGGUUGGAGGAGGAGGAAAGUGGGUCUGUUUCGUCUGCUUCGCUUGACAAAAUUGUAGGGCAGCUCGGUGUUUGAUAUUGAUCGCUUAAUUUUGUUGUGUUUUUGUUUUUGGCUUUGGGAUUACUGAAUUUCUCAAGAUCAAAUGGGAUGUCCAAAAGAAAGAUAUGAAGAACUUAAGCUACACGAGUCCUUAACAAAUCAAAGCUGCUCUCGUUACCCAUUGGCCUGCAAGGAGCUGGCAUUUAUCCUCAGAAAAGCCUACUCUAAAGCCCCAAAAAAUCUGCAAUCUUUGCUCUUCCAGGACACGCUCGAUGCCUUCCGCCUCCUCCCACAGUAAUUAAAUCUCCUUGCACUAUUAUUACCUUUUGUUUCCCCAUUACCUACUGGAACAUUCAACUCAGUUUUCGUCUCUUCUUUUGUGCUUUUGCUAUUCCAGAUUCUGUUUUGGUUUUGUUAGUGAUUUGAAUUGAUUGCUACUUGUACCAGAUAUAAAUUGGGCCCUUUUUCAAAUUUUGA